RNAcentral lists this ribosomal RNA (373 nucleotides) under uncultured organism. RNAcentral describes it as "partial 16S ribosomal RNA". It matches the Rfam family "Bacterial small subunit ribosomal RNA", at positions 527 to 896 of the family's 1533-position model. The record is from RNAcentral.
GUAGGUGGCAAGCGUUGUCCGGAAUUAUUGGGCGUAAAGCGCGCGCAGGCGGUCCUUUAAGUCUGAUGUGAAAGCCCGCGGCUCAACCGUGGAGGGUCAUUGGAAACUGGGGGACUUGAGUACAGAAGAGGAAAGCGGAAUUCCAAGUGUAGCGGUGAAAUGCGUAGAGAUUUGGAGGAACACCAGUGGCGAAGGCGGCUUUCUGGUCUGUAACUGACGCUGAGGCGCGAAAGCGUGGGGAGCAAACAGGAUUAGAUACCCUGGUAGUCCACGCCGUAAACGAUGAGUGCUAAGUGUUAGGGGGUUUCCGCCCCCCUUAGUGCUGCAGCUAACGCAUUAAGCACUCCGCCUGGGGAGUACGGCCGCAAGGCUG